This 1354-nucleotide long non-coding RNA is filed under the name Olea europaea subsp. europaea. Lineage: Eukaryota; Viridiplantae; Streptophyta; Magnoliopsida; Lamiales; Oleaceae. The record is from RNAcentral.
CGGAAGAGAAAGUCGGGGAGAAAAUGUCAAUCUUUAUUUCGUUUCGAAGUUGUUGUAGUUACAUUGCAUAGACUUCUUUAAAUGGGGUUUCUAAGACCCUACUCUAAGUAAGGUAAUAAAUUAAAAAUUAAUAAAGUUUCUUAAAAUGCGCAUUAAAAUUGAAAACUAAUUAUAAUAAUAUCCUAUCUGAUUCUCCAUCAUAAAGUCAUUCAAGAAAUCGACUUUCUUAUUGCUAUUAAAACUGACACGAGAAAAAUUUGGAUGACUUUAAUUUUGGUCUCUCGGAAGCAUUGAAUUGGGUUCUCCCAUUUUCGGUAGUAUAUUUAACCAGCCACAGUCCUAAAUUUCAACAAAUUGCACGUUCUGCCAGGACUCACACUUUUCUGGCUGUCCCAGAAAAUGGUAGUGAAGAGACACGUCUUUGUAAUGGGACUCUACAAGGGCUCUUUAUCUAUAAGCCCUUCUUGCCAAUUAAAUAUAAUUUUACUGGUUAUAUUGCUUUUAUCAGAUACUUUCUUGUUUACAUUUUUCCGUGUUUUCAUGUGUUGCAGAAGAUACAGGCGCAGGAGUCCAAGUAGGGGCAGGAGUUCUACGAAAUAUCGUUCUCCUUCUCAUUCCCGGUCUCCCUCUGGAUCUCGUUCGCACACGCGUUCACGCUCGCCCUACUCUAGUUCUCGAUCUCUCUCCCGCUCUACCUCGCCACGGUAAUUUUUCAUCUGUUCGGUUAAGCUCCUGUUCACUAUCCUGCUUGCUUAUAAUGGUAAGAAAUUUCAGGGGAAGAAGACGGUCAAGGUAUUGAAAAUGAUUUUACACUUGAAUUCGAGGAGGUGCAAAUAGAAGUAUUCAGCUGGCUGCCUGCAGCUAUUCCUCGUGUCCUUAGUACCCGUUUGUCUCAGCAGGGGUUUGGUUAAAAGAACACCUUGCUGGUCUACUAUACUGCUUAAUAUUAUAUAUAACUGAAAUGUGUGUAUUAAAGAAUCUUCUCCACCAGAUGGUUAUUGGAGCCAUGAGAUCUUUGCUUAGGGAGGCAAGACUCUGGCCCAAAAUAAGAUUAGCUAAAACGUGCAAAAUGUCUAGUUGAACUUGAAUCCCAGCUCAUUGUGUUUAUCCUUUAUUUAUUUAUUCAGUUAUUCUUGUGGUAUGAUUUUUUGGUUCUUAUAUUUGAGUUGCUGAAUUUGUCACUACCUGACUUUAGGCAGAAGAUUAACAAUGGAAAUUCACACAAAUAUCAGUAAGUGGAGCCAAAGAAAGAUUUUAAUACUUUUAUGCAAGACCCUUCUUUUGUGAGUGGGGAAAUAUGAACUUUAUGGGUUAAGAUUAAAAACUUUAGUUUAGUUUUGUGAACUGAUUGACG